This is a long non-coding RNA of Salvia miltiorrhiza (redroot sage), 1636 nucleotides long. RefSeq lists it as uncharacterized. The transcript is spliced from 2 exons. The record is from RefSeq and is a predicted model, not a curated record. NCBI's taxonomy places the organism in Eukaryota, Viridiplantae, Streptophyta, Magnoliopsida, Lamiales, Lamiaceae.
UAUGAUUGAUUAAGUCUUUUGGAAGCUAAGUAAAAUUUUGACUUGAGUUAGUUUAUGAGAGUUUUUGAGUUUUCAUAUUUUGAGAAGUCAAUAAUUGAUAAAAUGAGGUCUAAUUUGCUUUAUGACCAUUUUGUGAAGUUGUCAUGUUUUGUUGAGAGUUUAUGUGAAUAUAUGAGUUUUUAUUAAAGUUUGGUUGGUAUGAUUAAAGGGGAUUUAUGUGUAUAAAAUGAGUUAUAUGAAGUAUGAGGUCAUUUUGAAUGAUUGAGUGUUUUUAAGCAUGAAAUUGAGAAGAGGAUUGACUUGAUACGUUUGUAGAAACGUUUUCCUUGAAAUUUGAGUUAAGAUGUAAAAGAGGAGAGUUAAUUUGAGUAUGAUGAGUAUUUUAAAUGUUUUGAAUGUUUUUGAGUGUUAUAUGUGUUUAAAAUGAACUUUGAUUGGUUUUCUUUGAAGAAAUGUUGAAUUGAGCAUUUAAGAGUUUGAGAUGAGUUUUGGUGAUUUUUUUCGUAGGCUACUGACCUACUGUGAUCGACGGGUUGUCGAUGUCUAAUGGCUUUGAAAAUUUUACAGCAUGUCCCUACAUGAGUCGUGAGCAUACCGGUAAAAUUUCAAGUCAUUUGGACUUGAUUUACUAUUUUUAAAAAAUGCAAAACCAAAUCUGCACAUUUCUACCGGGAAUUUCAGAGAACAGGGGACAAAGUCAUUCAUUUCAGUAGCUUCCUGUGUGAUCUAGCUUUCCAAAUUUUUAUGGUAUCAACCUUACUGUAUGGUCUAGAUAUCCACCAAAUUUGAGCUCCGUUUGACAACGUUUACUAUUUUUCAAAAAUCAAUGUUUCCGAUUGCUCAAAACUGCCGAAUAUGGUAGACCGUGGUAAAAACGCCAUAUCUCCCAAACCACUUGGAGUUUCUGACUCUACUUUUUUUUGAAUGAAACUAGACUCAAAUACCUUUCUUUUGGUAUGAGUCUGGAGUCCAGAAGAUGUCGGAGUCAGAACGUGUUAAAUUUUGAAGUUGAGUCAGUGGGAAAACAGAACAUGAUUUGUUGAUGUUUGAUUGUAUUUUCUUAUGUGCCUUAUGUGUUUAUGUUGCUUAAGUGUUUUAAUGAGAUUAGACGAGUCUUAUAUGAGAGAUAAAUCGAGACUUAGAACCAUGAUUUUCUUGAAACCUAUCCUUGGACUUAAGGAUUUGAAAUGAGUGAAGAAGUUUAUGUAGAGUCGAUCAAGAGAUAGAAUAUAAGAUAGAGCAUGAGUUAAGGCAUGAGUUUUUGUCGUUGAGUUCUAAUCGAGAUUCAUUUUAUGACAUGAACCUUCGAUGAUGACGAUGAUCCCUGAAGACACGAGCAGAGCAAGGAAGUAAGUAACUCCGCUUUGACGGGAGUGUUUGAGUAAGGUCUUCAGGCUAAGCGAGGAGCGAGAUUGGUCUGGUGCUAGUGGGGGAAACGUUUCAAUCGAUGUAAUUAUGUUUUCGUAUUGCCUUCAUGUUAAUAGAGUCUUGAGGAUUGAGAUACUUUGUUUUCUUUUGAAAUCAAGCAAUUUACUCACGGUUAUGUGUCUUCAUACAUGUAAUCGAUUCGCCUUUUGCUGCGAUACUCUGCAUUUUAUGAUUCCUUAUGAAAAAUGAGCUAUACCCGUUUUGUUUU